UGCAUCCUACGGGGCGCAGCAGUCGAGAAUCAUUCACAAUGGGGGAAACCCUGAUGGUGCGACGCCGCGUGGGGGAAUGAAGGUCUUCGGAUUGUAAACCCCUGUCAUGUGGGAGCAAAUUAAAACGAUAGUACCACAAGAGGAAGAGACGGCUAACUCUGUGCCAGCAGCCGCGGUAAUACAGAGGUCUCAAGCGUUGUUCGGAAUCACUGGGCGUAAAGCGUGCGUAGGCUGUUUCGUAAGUCGUGUGUGAAAGGCGCGGGCUCACCCCGCGGGCGGCACAUGAUACUGCGA
Molecule: ribosomal RNA, 294 nt
Filed under: uncultured bacterium
Lineage: Bacteria
Description: partial 16S ribosomal RNA
Rfam family: Bacterial small subunit ribosomal RNA
Source: RNAcentral